This is a long non-coding RNA of Hydra vulgaris (swiftwater hydra), 361 nucleotides long. RefSeq lists it as uncharacterized. The record is from RefSeq and is a predicted model, not a curated record. Lineage: Eukaryota; Metazoa; Cnidaria; Hydrozoa; Anthoathecata; Hydridae.
AUGUGGAGUUACUUGUCAAUAGCUGGCGAUGAAACUUUUAAACGCCUUUAAGGGCUGAGAAGGUAAAAAUUAGAAGUCUGCAGACUGCAACGUAAAUCGAUUUCAACACGUUAUGGCUUCUCGAAUAUAUUUAGUUUCCGAUUGAAAUGAGAAUAAACUGAACUUAUAUAUAAAGUGUUUACAAUUAACUUUUUAAACUAGAAAUACUCCAAAGGAGGUUCUCCAAACGCAAGUUAAGCAAAGUCGAUAAAUGUUAAUAUCUUUUAUAUUAUGUUUUAGAUAUAAAAAAAAAUUUAUGUGACUUUAAUAUUUAUGUUAUAAUUGUAAAUUGCAAUCUUAAAAGGAUUUUAUUAUUACUUCA